AACGAACGCUGGCGGCAGGCUUAACACAUGCAAGUCGAACGCCCCUUUCGGGGGGAGUGGCAGACGGGUGAGUAACGCGUGGGAACGUGCCCUUCGGUUCGGAAUAACCCAGGGAAACUUGGGCUAAUACCGGAUACGUCCGAAGAGGAGAAAGAUUCAUCGCCGAAGGAUCGGCCCGCGUCUGAUUAGCUGGUUGGUGGGGUAACGGCCCACCAAGGCGACGAUCAGUAGCUGGUCUGAGAGGAUGAUCAGCCACACUGGGACUGAGACACGGCCCAGACUCCUACGGGAGGCAGCAGUGGGGAAUAUUGGACAAUGGGGGCAACCCUGAUCCAGCCAUGCCGCGUGAGUGAUGACGGCCUUAGGGUUGUAAAGCUCUUUCGCACGCGACGAUAAUGACGGUAGCGUGAGAAGAAGCCCCGGCUAACUUCGUGCCAGCCGCCGCCGUAAGAC
Molecule: ribosomal RNA, 453 nt
Filed under: uncultured bacterium
Lineage: Bacteria
Description: bacterial SSU rRNA
Rfam family: Bacterial small subunit ribosomal RNA
Source: RNAcentral